This 604-nucleotide ribosomal RNA is filed under the name Nocardiaceae bacterium. RNAcentral describes it as "bacterial SSU rRNA". It matches the Rfam family "Bacterial small subunit ribosomal RNA", at positions 273 to 887 of the family's 1533-position model. The record is from RNAcentral. Lineage: Bacteria; Bacillati; Actinomycetota; Actinomycetes; Mycobacteriales; Nocardiaceae.
GCGACGACGGGUAGCCGACCUGAGAGGGUGACCGGCCACACUGGGACUGAGACACGGCCCAGACUCCUACGGGAGGCAGCAGUGGGGAAUAUUGCACAAUGGGCGAAAGCCUGAUGCAGCGACGCCGCGUGAGGGAUGACGGCCUUCGGGUUGUAAACCUCUUUCAGCAGGGACGAAGCGCAAGUGACGGUACCUGCAGAAGAAGCACCGGCUAACUACGUGCCAGCAGCCGCGGUAAUACGUAGGGUGCAAGCGUUGUCCGGAAUUACUGGGCGUAAAGAGUUCGUAGGCGGUUUGUCGCGUCGUUUGUGAAAACCAGCAGCUCAACUGCUGGCUUGCAGGCGAUACGGGCAGACUUGAGUACUGCAGGGGAGACUGGAAUUCCUGGUGUAGCGGUGAAAUGCGCAGAUAUCAGGAGGAACACCGGUGGCGAAGGCGGGUCUCUGGGCAGUAACUGACGCUGAGGAACGAAAGCGUGGGUAGCGAACAGGAUUAGAUACCCUGGUAGUCCACGCCGUAAACGGUGGGCGCUAGGUGUGGGUUCCUUCCACGGAAUCCGUGCCGUAGCUAACGCAUUAAGCGCCCCGCCGGGGGAAAUACGGGA